GGGAGAUACUAUCUGGUCAGAGGGCUACAAUUGCUAAGAUAUGUGAAGAAGUUGGACUGCAAAAGAUACUACAGUUGUUGAUGUCUGAAGACUCUGAUGUCCAAACCCAUGCAGUGAAAGUGAUUGCCAAUCUUGCUGCUGAAGAUAUUAAUCAAGAGAAGAUUGUGGAGGAAGGAGGGUUAGAUGCAUUGCUUAUGCUGUUGAAAUCGUCNNNNNAACUAUACUUAGAGUGGCUUCUGGGGCCAUAGCCAAUUUGGCAAUGAAUGAAAUGAAUCAGGG
RNAcentral lists this unclassified non-coding RNA (279 nucleotides) under Hevea brasiliensis (rubber tree). Lineage: Eukaryota; Viridiplantae; Streptophyta; Magnoliopsida; Malpighiales; Euphorbiaceae. The record is from RNAcentral.